This 573-nucleotide ribosomal RNA is filed under the name uncultured Bacillota bacterium. RNAcentral's name for it is "bacterial SSU rRNA". It matches the Rfam family "Bacterial small subunit ribosomal RNA", at positions 352 to 916 of the family's 1533-position model. Lineage: Bacteria; Bacillati; Bacillota. The record is from RNAcentral.
CAGUAGGGAAUCUUCCGCAAUGGACGAAAGUCUGACGGAGCAACGCCGCGUGAGUGAUGAAGGGUUUCGGCUCGUAAAACUCUGUUGUUAAGGAAGAAUACUUGAGGUAGUAACUGGCCUUGAGAUGACGGUACUUAACCAGAAAGCCACGGCUAACUACGUGCCAGCAGCCGCGGUAAUACGUAGGUGGCAAGCGUUAUCCGGAAUUAUUGGGCGUAAAGCGCGCGUAGGCGGUAAAAUAAGUCUGAUGUGAAAGCCCCCGGCUCAACCGGGGAGGGUCAUUGGAAACUGUUUUACUUGAGUACAGAAGAGGAGAGUGGAAUUCCAUGUGUAGCGGUGAAAUGCGCAGAGAUAUGGAGGAACACCAGUGGCGAAGGCGGCUCUCUGGUCUGUUACUGACGCUGAGGUGCGAAAGCGUGGGGAUCAAACAGGAUUAGAUACCCUGGUAGUCCACGCCGUAAACGAUGAGUGCUAAGUGUUGGGGGGUUUCCGCCCCUCAGUGCUGCAGCUAACGCAUUAAGCACUCCGCCUGGGGAGUACGACCGCAAGGUUGAAACUCAAAGGAAUUGACGG